Molecule: long non-coding RNA, 820 nt
Filed under: Mustela putorius furo (domestic ferret)
Lineage: Eukaryota; Metazoa; Chordata; Mammalia; Carnivora; Mustelidae
Description: lncRNA (ENSMPUG00000031394.1)
Source: RNAcentral
GGAAGAACAGAAAAUUGGAGGGCAAGAGAAGUUAAGUUCCAUCCUUGUUUACCUGUCUACAGUGUCCUCAGUACAUUGGUCAAGGCUGGAUAGUCAGUAGAACUGAAGAGGCCAUUAGGUUAUUUAAAGAAGGGUAAUGCAGUAGCUGCCUUUACUGAUCACAGUCAGACAACCAGCUAGAAAAAUGGCAGUUUGAAUCCUGGCACACAGAGAUGACCACACCAAAAUGACUAUCCCAGCUUCCCAACCUUGGCCUUGGCAGUAUGUAAAUUAUUUCCACUCCAGGAGUUACUCCUGCUGCUUCAUUGCCUCUCCCCAGAGAAGCCACUUUGGGCGUUCAACAAUCAAGUUCAAGGUAUGAUUAGACCAGUGACAAAGCCAUUGAUUCUGAGAGCCACCAGAGCAGAUGUUUUCAAUUGAGUUAGACUUUAUGUGAAAGCAUAGUGGAAUUAAAACUUUUACUGUUGUGUGCCCACUUCAGACCAUAAGAAAACGCAAUUGCUUUUUUAAAUUUCCAAAUUUUCUAACCAGGAAUUUUGAUCAAAACCAAACUAACCUAACUAAAUGCCAAAACCUAACCAAAAUGCUAACAUUGUAUCUUCUUACUGGUACAUGCAGAACAGACUUACUCCACCAUCCAAGAACUGUAUGAUGGAGAAAUAUUUACAGGUACAAAUCUCUAAUAUAUGAUCUAAAAAGAAGUCACCUAGUUGCCAAAUCUGAGUUCAGAAGUUUAAAAAUUUCUUAUACUUCUUAUAUGGACUUUUGCUCCUUUUUGUUUUUACUCCCACUCUGAAACCACCAGCACCAUUUCCCUAAC